AUUUGAGGGUUGAAUUCAGAAUUUAGGAAUUCUAGUGUUCACAGCGACUUCGAUUCUUCUCGUUGAUUUCGAUUUAAACUCAUUCUUUCUACCUAUAUUAUGUCAAGAUGGCUUGUGAUCUGC
Molecule: long non-coding RNA, 123 nt
Organism: Ipomoea nil (Japanese morning glory)
Lineage: Eukaryota; Viridiplantae; Streptophyta; Magnoliopsida; Solanales; Convolvulaceae
Exons: 2
Source: RefSeq, a predicted model, not a curated record